GACGAACCGUGCGAACGUUGUUCGGAUUCACUGGGCUUAAAGGGCGCGUAGGCGGCUUGGCAAGUCCGGGGUGAAAGCCCCCAGCCCAACUGGGGAAGUGCCUCGGAGACUGCCAAGCCCGAGCGGGAUAGGGGCAGCUGGAACUUUCGGUGGAGCGGUGAAAUGCGUAGAUAUCGGAAGGAACGCCGGUGGCGAAAGCGGGCUGCUGGAUCCCCCCUGACGCUGAGGCGCGAAAGCCAGGGGAGCGAACGGG
This 253-nucleotide ribosomal RNA is filed under the name uncultured bacterium. Its description in RNAcentral is "partial 16S ribosomal RNA". It matches the Rfam family "Bacterial small subunit ribosomal RNA", at positions 524 to 776 of the family's 1533-position model. The record is from RNAcentral.